Molecule: ribosomal RNA, 460 nt
Filed under: uncultured bacterium
Lineage: Bacteria
Description: partial 16S ribosomal RNA
Rfam family: Bacterial small subunit ribosomal RNA
Source: RNAcentral
CCUACGGGAGGCAGCAGUGAGGAAUAUUGGUCAAUGGACGAGAGUCUGAACCAGCCAAGCAGCGUGAAGGAUGACUGCCCUAUGGGUUGUAAACUUCUUUUAUCUGGGAAUAAAAUGUUCCACGUGUGGGAUUUUGUAUGUACCUUAUGAAUAAGGAUCGGCUAACUCCGUGCCAGCAGCCGCGGUAAUACGGAGGAUCCGAGCGUUAUCCGGAUUUAUUGGGUUUAAAGGGAGCGUAGGUGGAGUGUUAAGUCAGUGGUGAAAGUUUGCGGCUCAACCGUAAAAGUGCAGUUGAAACUGGCAGUCUUGAGUACAGUAGAGGUAGGCGGAAUGCGUGGUGUAGCGGUGAAAUGCUUAGAGAUCACGAAGAACUCCGAUUGCGAAGGCAGUUCACUGGACUGCAACUGACACUGAGGCUCGAAAGUGUGGGUAUCAAACAGGAUUAGAUACCCGUGUAGUC